Molecule: RNA transcript, 473 nt
Organism: Callorhinus ursinus (northern fur seal)
Lineage: Eukaryota; Metazoa; Chordata; Mammalia; Carnivora; Otariidae
Gene: CHCHD7
Gene name: coiled-coil-helix-coiled-coil-helix domain containing 7
Source: RefSeq, a predicted model, not a curated record
GCGGGGGCAGCACGUUGGGAUGCGCGCUACUUAAGGUCCAGCUGCGUGAGCCAUUGACGUGUUUGGAGCUGGAGACGGCCUGGGCGCUGGCGAAGCGGUCGCCCGAGUAAGAAAACUGUUAGGAUGCCCAUGGUAGCAGGAAGGCUGAGAGAUCCUGACAUAAACCCUUGCUUGUUGGAAUCUGAUGCUUCUACCAGGUGUAUGGAUGAAAAUAACUACGACAGGGAACGGUGUUCCACUUACUUCUUGAAGUACAAAAACUGCCGGAAAUUCUGGGAUCCUUGAGGGCUCUUACUGGCUGCCUCCUCCGGGCUGGAAGAAUGCAGGGCUCAUAUAGAAUUCUGUCAUGGUCCAGAGAAGACAGAAUGGAGUGAAGCCAUCUAUGCCUACAGCAGCAGAAAGAGAUGAGAUCCUGGGGGCAAUGGGAAAGAUGCCUUACUGACUGUUUGCAUUAAAAUUGUUUAUUUAAUUUA